This 450-nucleotide ribosomal RNA is filed under the name uncultured bacterium. RNAcentral's name for it is "partial 16S ribosomal RNA". It matches the Rfam family "Bacterial small subunit ribosomal RNA", at positions 354 to 796 of the family's 1533-position model. The record is from RNAcentral.
GUGGGGAAUAUUGGACAAUGGGCGAAAGCCUGAUCCAGCCAUGCCGCGUGUGUGAAGAAGGUCUUCGGAUUGUAAAGCACUUUAAGUUGGGAGGAAGGGCAGUAAGUUAAUACCUUGCUGUUUUGACGUUACCGACAGAAUAAGCACCGGCUAACUUCGUGCCAGCAGCCGCGGUAAUACGAAGGGUGCAAGCGUUAAUCGGAAUUACUGGGCGUAAAGCGCGCGUAGGUGGUUUUGUAAGUUGGAGGUGAAAUCCCCGGGCUCAACCUGGGAACUGCCUCCAAAACUGCAUGACUAGAGUACGGUAGAGGGUAGUGGAAUGUCCUGUGUAGCGGUGAAAUGCGUAGAUAUAGGAAGGAACACCAGUGGCGAAGGCGACUACCUGGACUGAUACUGACACUGAGGUGCGAAAGCGUGGGGAGCAAACAGGAUUAGAAACCCUGGUAGUCC